RNAcentral lists this unclassified non-coding RNA (324 nucleotides) under plant metagenome. RNAcentral's name for it is "partial contains small subunit ribosomal RNA, internal transcribed spacer 1, and 5.8S ribosomal RNA". The record is from RNAcentral.
UUUCCGUAGGUGGACCUGCGGAAGGAUCAUUAUUGAAUAAACAGUGUGGGUUGUUGCUGGCCUUCUGGCAUGUGCACGCCUGCCAUAUGUUUCAUUCCCUUCUUUCCACCUGUGCACUAUGUGUAGGCUAUGUAUGCUGUAUUGUCAGGCCCUUCAUAAGGCUUGGUUUAGAGAGGAUGCUUGUCUUUAUGAGACAGGCUCAUCUUGGGCGUACAGGUCUAUGUUUUACACCAACACCAAAUGAAUGUCUUAGAAUGUAUUUUUUCAGGCUCUUGCUAGCCUUUAAACCAUAUACAACUUUCAACAACGGAUCUCUUGGCUCUC